UCCCUUGGGGGUUUGUGGCCUUGAACCGUGGCUUUCGGAGCUACCGCGUUAAGUAGCCCGCCUGGGGAGUACGGUCGCAAGAUUAAAACUCAAAUGAAUUGACGGGGGCCCGCACAAGCGGUGGAGCAUGUGGUUUAAUUCGAUGCAACGCGAAGAACCUUACCUACUCUUGACAUCUACAGAAGCCAGCGGAGACGCAGGUGUGCCUUCGGGAACUGUAAGACAGGUGCUGCAUGGCUGUCGUCAGCUCGUGUUGUGAAAUGUUGGGUUAAGUCCCGCAACGAGCGCAACCCUUAUCCUUGUUUGCCAGCACUUCGGGUGGGAACUCCAGGGAGACUGCCGGUGAUAAACCGGAGGAAGGUGGGGACGACGUCAAGUCAUCAUGGCCCUUACGAGUAGGGCUACACACGUGCUACAAUGGCGCAUACAGAGGGCGGCCAACUUGCGAAAGUGAGCGAAUCCCAAAAAGUGCGUCGUAGUCCGGAUUGGAGUCUGCAACUCGACUCCAUGAAGUCGGAAUCGCUAGUAAUCGUGGAUCAGAAUGCCACGGUGAAUACGUUCCCGGGCCUUGUACACACCGCCCGUCACACCAUGGGAGUGGGCUGCAAAAGAAGUGGGUAGUUUAACCUUCGGGAGGACGCUCACCACUUUGUGGUUCAUGACUGGGGUGAAGUCGUAACAAGGUAACCG
Molecule: ribosomal RNA, 690 nt
Filed under: uncultured bacterium
Lineage: Bacteria
Description: bacterial SSU rRNA
Rfam family: Bacterial small subunit ribosomal RNA
Source: RNAcentral